Armigeres subalbatus is the source of this 1453-nucleotide long non-coding RNA. RefSeq lists it as uncharacterized. The transcript is spliced from 5 exons. The record is from RefSeq and is a predicted model, not a curated record. Lineage: Eukaryota; Metazoa; Arthropoda; Insecta; Diptera; Culicidae.
GGCUUAACCCAUUAAAAUACCAUAGGUUGUAUGUCAAACAAUACAAUCUAUGGUGCCUUUAAUGUAGAAUUCCCACGGUUGUAGAGAACCUUUAUUGUACUUACUUAAAAAUCACAAUAAUUUUAAACGUUAACAAUACAUUUUAUAAUAUAUUUAUUGUUUCUUGUGUUUUGUUUUGCGCAUCAAAAAACGAAACAAACGAUGCAUUUUUCCUGACUUGUUAAUGAUAUAAUCUUGCCUUGAGUUCAAAAAAAUACAAUUUAAGAAUAUUCUAUUGAUUUAUUAUAAUGAUAAAAUAACAAUUGAAAACAAUAAAACAACAAUAGUUGAAAUUUUUUUUAUAAAUUGAUUUUAAAUAUUACAAGUCUUGAAAUGAUCACCCACUUCUACAGCACAUUGCCACCCUUCAACACAUUUCAACAUUUCGUUCAAAUUAAUUCAAAUUAUUCUGGCAACACUAUCGUUUUGAACGGUGUUUUUAUUUUUCUUUCUUGUUUAUAUUUAUUUCUUGAUUAAAUGUUUUUUACAAAAUAUUUAAAAUCCACUAAAUAUUAAGAUCUAAAAUCAAUAAAAUAGAGGUGUAUUGUCGCAUGUGAUUGUCCCGUUAUAAUAAAAACCCCGUUUUGUUCACUUUUGUUAGAUAGGUAAGAAAGAAAAGUUGUGCUUGAUGUUUAGACAUUUAGCUGUGCGUCUAUCUGGUGUCCGACAAGUACAUAUGAGCAGCUAUGUUUGGAAGGAGGCAGAUAUUACUGCUGUACAAGAAACUGUUGCCAACAUAGCAAGUCACUGUUCAAAGCUCGAUCACCUUGCUGUUUGAAAACAACAACAAAUCAUCUUCCGGGGCAGCAAAGUUGGCUGGAUUUGGCCAACCAGUGGCUCAGGCUUCGCUGUUCGGCCAGGCAAGUCCGGUGGUGGAAUCGACACACCUAGAAGGUCCGAGCAACAACAGAAGUGGAUUGGUUACCAGUCUGCCACAAGGAAUGACCAGCAAAAGCAAAUUUCGCUGCUGUUAAAUAGUAGGACUAUCUUCAGAAGCAGCGGUAAUCUACAUUCGAAUGGAUUCUGGCGGAUUGAUCCUCAUUUUUCCCGCACCCGGUCUUCUCGUCGCGAGGGGCAAUCGUCCGAAUACCAUUAGAAACGUCGCAUCCCGAACAGCUUAAGUGCUUCAGAAGAACGGAUACUAUAUUUAUUUACAUCAUCAGGCCACUGGCUGACAAAGAACCGUUGAGGACAAGGCGGUUCACCCAAAGAGGCUUUUACUAAUCGGAUAGGAGCAAUGGACAUUCAUAUGACGACACUGUGGAAGCCGAGAAACAGAUCCAAAAUGCCGGCUAAAUCAUUGAACCAGAUGGUUUAUUGACGAAGGAGCAAACUAUGUGGCCAAUUAUCAAUGUGCAUACGAACACAAGUUGAAAAUGAAAUAAAAAUAAACAUAUUUUCCAUGACAUAAAAA